RNAcentral lists this long non-coding RNA (3067 nucleotides) under Homo sapiens (human). RNAcentral's name for it is "HSALNT0099017". The record is from RNAcentral. Lineage: Eukaryota; Metazoa; Chordata; Mammalia; Primates; Hominidae.
ACAGGGGUCUGGGAAAGACAGAGGCUUUGUUAGAGCCGGCAGCUGAGGGCCGAGGCCGAGCAGGGGUUAGGCCAGCACAGGACGAAAAGGAAGAAAGUUCCAGGUGGAGUCUGGUGGAGAAAGACCGACCUGGAAGGCACCAGCAUGUGCACGUGGCAACUGAGGUCGAGGACGUGCCUGAGAGAGAGGAGGAAGGUGCCCUGCGGACCGGGUAGGGUGCGGAGGUCGGGAAUGGAGAACGGUCGUUGGGCAGGUCCGGGUACCCGUAGCCAGAACCACCCGGGUGUGCGCAGCUCGGCCAGGCCCCGCCUCCCGGCGUCCCCGCCCCCUGCUGGGCCUCUCUCCGCAGCCGCGAGACCCGCGCUUGGCGCAUAGGCCGGUUCUAAUUUACAAGAACACCGCGGCCUGAGGCCGGAGAGUCCCUUCAACCCGGGAGGCGGCGGCUGCAGGGAGCCGAGACGGCGCCAUUGCCCUCCAGCCUGGGCAAAAAGAGCGAAACUCCGUCUCAAAAAAAAAAAAACAUGGCCGAAACCAGGAAGCUGCGCGAUGGCGCCACGGCCCCUCUUCUCCCGGCCUGUGUCCGGAAGGUUUCCCUCCGAGGCGCCCCGGCUCCCGCAAGCGGAGGAGAGGGCGGGACGUGCCGGGGCCGGAGCUCAGAGGCCCUGGGGCCGCUCUGCUCUCCCGCCAUCGCAAGGGCGGCGCUGACCUGAGGCCUCCCCGCAAAGGUCCCCGAGGCGGCGGCGGCGGCGGGCUGUGAGAACCGCAGAAGAACGCUGGGCGCGCAGCGACCCGUCCACCCCCGCGAGGAGAGACUUCCACAGAGGCAGCGUUUCCACAGCCCAAAGCCACGUUUCUAGGGUGAUGCAGCCCCAGUAAGUUCCUGGCGGGGAAGCUCACGGCUGUCAAAAGAACUCUUCGCUCCAGCCGGCGCACGAAGGGGAGGAGGGCAGGAGGCUGCCGCCCGCACAGGUCAUCUGAUCACGUCGCCCGCCCUAGUCUGCUUUUGUGAAUCUCCACUUUGUUCAACCCCCACCCGCCGUCUCUCCCUCCCUGCGCCUUCCCUCUAACCUUAAAGACCCAGCUACCUCUACGCAAAUGGUAGCUACCUCUGCGCAGGUGGAAGUUGAGUUCGGUUCACGCGGGACCCUCUUCCCUGUGGCAAGCUGCUGAAGGAGACCUGCUGUUACUGCUUUAGCUGCUGUUCUGCUUAAUCUCAGACAGCUGGAAGGUAGUAUUCCGCCCUCGCCCAGCCACCCGAGUAAAUGAGAAUGAUGACUGACUGAGACCCUGAUGGUGGUGGCUUAGGCUUAAUCUCAGACAGCUGGAAGGUAGUAUUCCGCCCUCACCCAGCCACCCGAGUAAAUGAGAAUGAUGACUGACUGAGACCCUGAUGGUGGUGGCUUAGGCAAGAUGAACGUCUGAAAUGGAGGCCCAGGGCUGCCACGAUGGCUCUGUAGUCAUCAGGGAGGGAGCUCCUUUUAUCUUGUUACCUACUCCCCUCUUGUGCCCCUUUCUUCCCUUGAUCUAAGAAGGUUGCUCCGGAUCUCGCCAUCUGGCCUGCGUUCAAUCAGCAGAAGCUUCCUGGAGGAGCAGGAGGAGGCACUGUGCUCGCAUCACAUACCAGUGGCCAGAAGUUGGCUUCAGGGAAGCUCAGGAAAUAGGAUGCGAGAAGCCAUGAGACCUCCCCAAACUCUGCAGUAACAGAGUCAACAAGACAAUGGCUUAAAGAUGGAGAGACCAGUUGAUCGGUCACACAAGCUGUUCCACGAUAAUUCUUGUGUCAGAAGGGGAGGCUGACUACCAGGACCACUGGCCCCACUUCCAGCCCCUCCAUUCUGAGUACACUUCAGAGGGCUCUGGCAGGGUGAGGGGGUCUUGGUGGUGCCACAGAGAGUAAAGGUCUAGCACACCCAUUGUGGAGAUAUUUCAUGGGGACAACCCAGUGACUUCACUUGAAGUAAAGUGGGAUUUUCCAACCUUGAGAUUCUUAUUUUCUUUGCACGUGCCCAGCUUCCUUUCAAGUCUCUGGCCAAUGCAAUGUGAGCAGAAGUGAAGGGGCAACUUUCAGGUGAUGACUUGGAAAAGAAAGCUUAGUCCUCUGCUUCUCCUGUCACCCGAAAGAGAAACAGAGGCUUGUCUUGUUGAAGCCAGUGUGUUUGGUGUCUUUUUGUAUAGUGGCUUAGACAGUGGCCUAACUAGAAGACCAAGGCUCAAAGGAACACAUUUUGAGCUUCUCCACAGUUUGAGAACCUCUACAUUACCUACACCAAGCCUUCCCCAGCACUCAAUUUAUGGAAGACCAUUUCUCUUCUCAUGACACAUGUCCUCAUGUUGCUUUGGCCUGUUUUAAAGCUUUCUCAACUCCAUCUCAAUAAAGAAAUCUGCAGCUUUGUUGGAUGAGAGGAUCUAAAAAGUUCGUUCUUCCAAUCGGUUGUAAAUAUAGACACUAAUUUAUAAACUGACACAGGAACACACAGCAAAUUAGUAGAAAAUCCGAUUCCUGUUCCCUUUUCUCCUUGCAUUGUUUCCUGCCAAUGCUCACCAUUUCUUUAUCCUUUCCACUCUUCCUUGCUCCUCCUUCCCUUUAAUUUUUCUCUGUUGUGCCUAAAUAAGCUGUCCAUGCAUGGCACUCCAUGGGCUCUGAUAACAGACUCAACAAGACAAUGACUUAAAGAUGGAGUGACCAGCUGAUCAGUCACACAAGUUGUUCCAGUGUAAUUAUUUUCACAGGUGUCUCAGUUUGGAUGAUAAAUUAUAUGAACACUCUACUUACAGAACAAAGACCUUUAUUUAUGUCUCUCUUGCUUCAAAGUCCAAGGUGAGCAUGCCUGCCUGGCAGCUCUGCCUCAAUUCCUUUUAAAUCAUUCCUUUGUCAUACUUCAGCACACUGCUGUCAUCUGUAUGGUUGAGCUGGACUGCUGCCAUGUUGAGUCACCAGUGACUUUUUGAUUCUUUAAUUCCCAGUUUGACUGGCAUUCCUCUGUGUGUGUGUAUUUAGUUCUAUGCAGUUUUAUCACAUGUGUAGGCUUGUGUAACCACUGCCACAGCCAAGAUACAGAACAGCCAA